RNAcentral lists this ribosomal RNA (253 nucleotides) under uncultured bacterium. RNAcentral's name for it is "partial 16S ribosomal RNA". It matches the Rfam family "Bacterial small subunit ribosomal RNA", at positions 524 to 776 of the family's 1533-position model. The record is from RNAcentral.
UACAGAGGUCUCAACCGUUGUUCGGAUUCAUUGGGCGUAAAGGGUGCGUAGGCGGCGGGGUAAGUCAGGUGUGAAAUCUCGGGGCUCAACCCCGAAACUGCACUUGAUACUGCCUCGCUUGAGUACUGGAGAGGAGACUGGAAUUUACGGUGUAGCGGUGAAAUGCGUAGAUAUCGUAAGGAAGACCAGUGGCGAAGGCGGGUCUCUGGACAGUUCCUGACGCUGAGGCACGAAGGCCAGGGGAGCAAACGGG